Long non-coding RNA from Myotis myotis, 2389 nucleotides. RefSeq lists it as uncharacterized. NCBI's taxonomy places the organism in Eukaryota, Metazoa, Chordata, Mammalia, Chiroptera, Vespertilionidae. The record is from RefSeq and is a predicted model, not a curated record. The transcript is spliced from 2 exons.
GCGCCGCCUCCGUCCUCGUCCUCGUCCUCGUCCUCGGCGGCUGUCCCCUUUGCUCCGGCAGAAGCCUCACAGGCUGCGGGGGCGCACGUGGCGGGGCGCGCGGCCGUGCGGGAGCUGCCCGCGAGGGGGCGCGCUUCCAGGGGAAGGGGCCGCGGCGCAGGUGACCCCACCCGCCGCGCGCACGCUCCGACCCGGGGGUGGGGCAGAGGCGGGAGAGCGGCGCGGCGUGGGCGCGGCGUGGGCGCGGGAGGGAGCUCCGCCGCGCCACGCACACGCUCGACGCCAGGGUCGCGCGAACAGGUCCGGUGGGCGGCGGCACGAGCGGACCCCAGGCCUCCGGCCUUCCCUUAGGGAGCCGGCGUCAGAAAAACAGAAGACGCGGGAAGCAUGGCCGCCCCACUAGCUCCAGAAUGACUCGCUACUGUCAGCUCACCCUUCAGAUUCUCCCCAGCUCACCACCUGCCAGUCAGGACCACAGCUCCUGAGCAGACGUGAUUUACAGACCUGUCAACCACCUCCCUGUCCACAGGCUAUCUGAGCGUGGCCUUCUCAAAUCUCCACCAGCCAACGUUUCCUGUGGAGGUCCCACUGCCUGGGAAUUUGACUCCCACUCUACCUGGCCAUCCCGAGUCCCCCACUCUCCCAGGUUCCUAUAAAGCCUCGAGAGAGAGUGGAUGCAUUUUAAAUGCUUACAGCCAGGGGCCGGGGAAGACAUCCUAUAAUGCUCCGACCUGGCUCCCCAUGACCAGUUGAGUCCUUCAGUGUAGCCAGUGCCAGGCCAGGGCAGGAGUCCUGGCCCAAGUGCGGACCCUGGCCACUUCCCGAUCAUAUCCUCCUGCACCGCCUGGGCCUGGCUCCCCGCCUUCUUUCUGCCCAGGGUCAGCCACUGAUGCCUUUUCCUGGAACUCUCCGCCUUCACAUCUGAUCUGUGCAAGAAAAGAUGAGAGAGCGUAAGCUCACCACUGAUUUGGACGGAAGCCCUGGUGACUAUUUAAAUGGAAACACAUUGAUAGCUCUGAAUAUUUCAUGCCAGGUACAUUAGAACAACCAGCAUUACUUAUUGAAGGCUGAUCACCCAUCAUGGGUAUUAAUACAUCUUGCUUCGGUGUCAGCCCCAGGGACAUUAGCUUCAAGGAACAAGGUAGGAGGCUUUGGGUACUUUUGCCUCAGGAAAUAAAUCUUGCGUGGAUGGAAGGUGUGGUCUAGUGGUGUCAUCCAACCUCCCUCUGGUUUGUCAAAACUUCUCUUUUUAAAAAAAAUAUUGUUAUUGAUUUCAGAGAGGGGGAGAGAGAUAGGAACAUCAAUGAUGAGAGAAUCAUUGAUCUGUUGCUGGGGAUCGAGCCCACAACCCGGCAUGUGCCCUGACCAGGAAUCGAACUGGCCACCUUUUGUUGUGUGGGACUACGCUCCAAACAACCAACCAAGCCAUACCAGCCAGGGCCCUUUAUUACUGAGAAUUAUGUGCCAGAUACAUUCAUUCCCUUUCUUAAGAUGGGAAAACAUGAAAUGACUUUCCCAAGGUCACGCACAAAGUGGGACUGAAACACAGAUCUGGGCCAUCCUUCUGACUGUGGUCCCAGGCACCCCUACACCUGGCAGUUGCCUGAAUUCCUGGCACGCGCAGGGGCUCCCUAAAUGUUCCUGAUGUGAAUAAUCCUUAAGUCUCUGUCUUCUGCCAUGAUUGCUCAGUCCAGUCUGAUGCCUACCACUAAUGCAGGACAUUCCAGUUAGUUGCCCCAAGGUCACUACCACUGAAUGUAUCUUCUCAUCCAACUAAAUGUCCCUCUUCCUCAACGGUUCCAUUUCUCCUCAUCAUACCACCAUUUUCUAGCCCCCAAGCUAACACUUCUACAGUUUGUACGUUAUCAUGCCUCAGCCCUCCCCUCCCCCACCCCAUACGUGAUCUGACAUCGAGUUGGAUGGCUCUUCUCUUUGAAGUGACUCUUGGGUUUCCAUCUGCUCCACCUCUCUGACCUUAGCUGUCCUCCCCUGAGCUCAUGACCAGCCUCCAGUCUCAGAGCCCGUCCUCUUGAGGACCCAUCUCCUCCCCUGUCUUCUUAGAUCCUUAACCACACACAUGCCCAAAUCCACAGAGCCUGAUGGUGGGCCACAUAGAUUGUAUUUUAUGAUGAAAUGAUAGGCUUGUUUAGGCUUGGGUUAGAUUGGAGUUGGAUCUGUCUCUUGUUUGUUUGGGGAAAGGAGAUUGGUGGUUGCAUGUCAGCAUGAAUAAAGUAUAAAGGCAUGCCCUCCAGAACUCAUCAUGCGACAAACUGCCCUGUUGCCCAGAUCAUAGCAUUCUGCCUUUUACCUGUGACCUCCCACCAUUUGCUCCAAGAAUCCAGUUCCUAUUAUUAUAAACAAAUAAAUAAAAAACCCUGCUGUUUCUGUG